Long non-coding RNA from Oncorhynchus keta (chum salmon), 1452 nucleotides. RefSeq lists it as uncharacterized. NCBI's taxonomy places the organism in Eukaryota, Metazoa, Chordata, Actinopteri, Salmoniformes, Salmonidae. The record is from RefSeq and is a predicted model, not a curated record. The transcript has 2 exons.
GUUUUACGUUUCGGUGGACUUUUCUUAGCGGAUGUACAAUCAACGCGAAUUAAAUUAUGGGGGGGUUUCAGGCCCGCCCGAAGUGAACAUAAUUGUACACUUCCCUUGUUUGGACCGACGUCCAAGAUGGUGACGGGGAUUCCCCCAAGGGCAUAAGGCGAGGGUGCAGAAUGCCGUGUAUGGAGGAUUGACAGGGGUGUACAGAUGAGAAAUGCCAGUGGAAUUUGGGGACACAGUGGAAUUUAGCUCCAAAAAGGUUGAGCGAGAUCUUUUGAGUUCUCUGACAGCACCCCAGCCUCUUCUCCAUCUCUACCUGCAACCCCUGCGUACCACUCCCACAACGUACUUAAGAAGAGUUUGGAAGGGGCCAAUGUUCCACUUGGAGCCUUCUGCACAAGUGCAUCAAAGCUAAACCAAACAGUCAUCAUGUUCCAACAGCAGCCACACAGUGAACACGGCAUCAACACAGUAUCAGAAAUGCUUGUAAUUUUAUGACUUUUAUGUUAAGCUGGAGGAGUGUAAAUGUGCCAGCUUGGAUGAGGUUACCAAAGCACAGAGUGCCUCCUAUGCAUGGUAUGGCACACUUAAAUUUCAGAUCACUGCAAGCUCAGUAAAGAAUGUUCCUGUGCGCACCUCAACAAAUCAUGACCACUUUGUGCAGGAGCAUCUCUCCCCCAGGUUCCAUGGAAACUCAGAAACCACAUAUGGCAAGAAAAACGAACAGGUGGCCUACACAUGGAUGGAGAGCUGUGGGUUUAGUUUGGAGUGUAGAGGCACAGUAGUGUGUCAAGGAGCCAUGUCUUUCUGCAAGCCCACAGAUGGAGUGUUAAACUCUCAAGAACUUCUAGAAAUUAAAAUGUUCUGUUCUGAGUGAAGUGUGAGUCUCUGGCAAACUCCUCGACGUGAAGCUGGUGGAUGGAGUUCCUCAGCUGCAACAUAAUGGAGCCUGUGGUUACUACGUGCAGGAGCAAUUGGGCAUGUUCUGCACAGGACUGGAGAUAUGCAAACUGUUGUCUGGGCUCUGUCCGAGCUGGUUGUUAUUGAUGUGCCUAUUGAUGUGAAGUUCUGUGCUGAUGUUAUCCCUAAACUGAAGGCAUUCUAUUUCCUACAUAUGCUGCCAAGGGUAGUAUAUGAGUUCCAGUUAGGCAGACUGUGCUCAAAAUAUGUUAAUCUAUGUGGUUUCUAGGCUAAUACUUUGUUUUGAAAUAGUUAUUAUAUUUUGUGCCUUGUAAAUAUCUCUCUGUUAGCUCUACCUUAUUAUCUAGGCAUAACUCUUGGUGUUUUUUGUUGUCUUGCACAGUUCUCUUCAUAUGCACAUUUACCUGAUUUAUAUUUGCAUAAUUCUUCUUGGUGUUUUUUAUGUCUUGCCUUGUACAGCUCUCUUCGUACAUGUUUAUCUAAUGCUUAAGGAUAACUCCUUAUGAUUUAUGAAUAUAUUAAUUGUACCUUGUA